GGAGUGUGGAGCAAGCGGCCGGUCUGCAGUCGGAGACUUGCAGGCAGCAAACACGGUGCGAGCGAACAGGAGUGGGGGGGGUGGAAAUAAAAAAAGCUAAACGUGGAGCAGCCGAUCGGGGACCGAGAAGGGGAAUCGAUGCAAGGAGCACAAUAAAACAAAAGCUACUUCGGAACAAACAGCAUUUAAAAAUCCACGACUCAAGAUAACAGAAACCUAAAAUAAAACCUGCUCAUGCACCAUGGUUUUUCAAACUCGGUACCCUUCAUGGAUUAUUUUAUGCUACAUCUGGCUGCUCCGCUUUGCACACACGGGGGAGGCGCAGGCUGCGAAGGAAGUACUACUGCUGGAUUCUAAAGCACAACAAACAGAGUUGGAGUGGAUUUCCUCUCCACCCAAUGGGUGGGAAGAAAUUAGUGGUUUGGAUGAGAACUAUACCCCGAUACGAACAUACCAGGUGUGCCAAGUCAUGGAGCCCAACCAAAACAACUGGCUGCGGACUAACUGGAUUUCUAAAGGCAAUGCACAAAGGAUUUUUGUAGAAUUGAAAUUCACCCUGAGGGAUUGUAACAGUCUUCCUGGAGUACUGGGAACUUGCAAGGAAACAUUUAAUUUGUACUAUUAUGAAACAGACUAUGACACUGGCAGGAAUAUAAGAGAAAAUCUCUAUGUAAAAAUAGACACCAUUGCUGCAGAUGAAAGUUUUACCCAAGGUGACCUUGGUGAAAGAAAGAUGAAGCUUAACACUGAGGUGAGAGAGAUUGGACCUUUGUCCAAAAAGGGAUUCUAUCUUGCCUUUCAGGAUGUAGGGGCUUGCAUAGCUUUGGUUUCUGUCAAAGUAUACUACAAGAAGUGCUGGUCCAUUAUUGAGAACUUAGCUAUCUUUCCAGAUACAGUGACUGGUUCAGAAUUUUCCUCUUUAGUCGAGGUUCGAGGGACAUGUGUCAGCAGUGCAGAGGAAGAGGCGGAAAACUCCCCCAGGAUGCACUGCAGUGCAGAAGGAGAAUGGUUAGUGCCCAUUGGAAAAUGUAUCUGCAAGGCGGGCUACCAGCAAAAAGGGGACACUUGUGAACCCUGUGGCCGUGGGUUCUACAAGUCUUCCUCUCAAGAUCUUCAGUGCUCUCGUUGUCCAACUCACAGUUUUUCUGAUAAAGAAGGCUCCUCCAGAUGUGAAUGUGAAGAUGGGUAUUACAGGGCUCCAUCUGACCCACCGUACGUUGCAUGCACAAGGCCUCCAUCUGCACCACAGAACCUCAUUUUCAACAUCAACCAAACCACAGUAAGUUUGGAAUGGAGUCCUCCUGCAGACAAUGGAGGAAGAAACGAUGUGACCUACAGAAUAUUGUGUAAGCGGUGCAGUUGGGAGCAAGGCGAAUGUGUUCCCUGUGGGAGUAACAUUGGAUACAUGCCCCAGCAGACUGGAUUAGAGGAUAACUAUGUCACUGUCAUGGACCUGCUAGCCCACGCUAAUUAUACUUUUGAAGUUGAAGCUGUAAAUGGAGUUUCUGACUUAAGCCGAUCCCAGAGGCUCUUUGCGGCUGUCAGUAUCACCACUGGUCAAGCAGCAAGAAUUUUGGAAAAUUUGGACUGAUGAUACUAGGAAAAAGGAUGAGUACUUUUCCAGUUUCCACUGUCACUUCUAUACAGGUCCACUGAGCUGCACUGUACUACACUUAAUCUUAGCCAUGACGCUGACAAGCAGCUGAGCUUCACUGUAAAUAUACUUUGAAACCAAUUCUGUGAGAAUAUUUUUAAACAAGUGCUAUUAUUAAAAGUCUUUUCAAAAGUGAAGUACCAAUUUCCUGUGAUCUCAGUGAACGACAAAAAAGUCAAGCACCUAACAAUGUCAGGUGUGUAGUAGUUGCAUAAUAUGUAUUUUGUUGAGAAAAUAGAUUAAUAUAUUAUUUCUAUUGAACUGAACUGUGUGAGGCAAUGUAGCAUGUUGUCUACGUUUGCCUUAAAGCAGAGUUAUAUAAUGAAAGCCUAUUCAUUCAGUCUUUGCUUGUGGAUGCUAUGAAAAGAUAAAAUGACAUAGUGGUUUACAAUAGUAGCUGAAAAAUAGAAAGUACAUAUCUUUGAAGAAAUAAUUAAUCGAUAAACUAAACAAGGUAUAAUGUAGUUGAAUUGCUAUUUGCCACACAUAUACAAAUUACAUGGGGAAGUUACUGGAUGAGAAAACAACAUUGCUUCAAUUGUUUAUAUAGUUCAUGUAAAGUAAUAAUUUGUCCUUAGUUAUUCAGAUGAUUUCCUUAACUCUCCAUGAUAAUUUAUUUGAAAAAAUGUUUAUGUGUGUAUGUGAAAUAAAUUUAGUAUGCAUUCUAAACGAAAUCUCUGUUUCUAAAUAAGUUAUAAAUGAAAAAAUAAGACUUAUGUCUAGGUUUGAUUUUUAAAAGCUCUGGAAUUUUUUUUGGAUCUUUCUGCUAAAUAUAUAAUCUGCCUAUUUCAGGAAGGCAUGUAUUCAGUAGUUGCAGAAUUUGGAAAUAGAUUAAAGGUGAAGAAAACUGAGAAAAGACCUUUGUGUUUAGCGAGAAAGAUAUUGAAAACCUUAUAAAACAAAACACGAUUUUAUUAUAGUAGUGUGACUAUACAUGUGGAAAGUAAAACUAAGGAGAAUUGUUAAGGCCAUCUCUGUUUCCUUCUUUUCUUAAAAUACAGUGAUAUCCUUCAUUUGUAGUAUUGUAAUGUAUACUUUUGUGCCAAAAUUAUAACUAAACUUUUACAGAUUUACUGCAUUUCCAUGUUGCUAAUUUUACAAUUCAGCAUCUGCAAUACUUUCCCCCAAAUAGCCAUCAGAUUAUCAAAAUGUUUCACAUAUAUGCCCACUCUUGACUGUGAACCUAAACAGACAGAUCAUCUAAUGAAAAGCCAGUUAAGAAAUAUUGUGGGUAGGUGUGCAUGUUCUCCAUACAGCAGAGUCCUAAGAUCAGUUAUAGAAUAAGGAGUUAAUAAAUGCUUUACACCUUUUGAAAUGCCUUCUUAGCUGAUAGCCAAGCUAACAUAAAAAAGAGAAAAGUAAAUAUUUUGCCCUUGGAGAAAAUGCUGUUGAUUGGCUUGGAUAAAGAGCAAGUUUCAGAAAGGAAAUCAGCAUAUUGAAGAGCUAUCUGCACCUCUAUGUUUAUUGUAGCAUUAUUCACAAUAGCCAAGAUAUGAAAUCAACCUAAGUGUCGAUCAACAGGUCAACAGAUUUUUUUAAUGUGGUACAUAUAUACACUAUGGAAUACUAUUCAGCCAUAAAAAAGAAAGAAAUCUGGUCAUUUGUAGCAAUAUUGUUGAGCCUGGAGGAUAUUAUGUUAAGUGAAAUAAGUCAGGUACAGAAAUACAAAUACUACUACAUGUUCUCACUUAUAUGUAAGAGCUAAAAAGUUUGAUUUAAUAGAAGCAGAUAGUAAAAUAGUGGUUACUGAGAAGGUUGGGGAGAGAGGAAGAUAGAGGUUGGUUCAUAUAUACAAAACUAGAGCUAUAUAGGAGAAAUAAACUGUGGUGUUCUUUAGUAGUGGUGUGAUAUAGUUAACGAUAAUUUAUUUUAUAUCUUCAAAUAGCUAGAAGAGAGGAUUCUGAAUGUUCCCAGCACAAAGAAAUGAUAUUAACAAAUGUUUGAGGUAAUGGACCUGCUAAUCAACCUAAUUUCAUCAUUACACAUUGUAUACUUGUAUCAAAAUAUUACUAUGUACCUCAUAAAUAUGUAACAUUAUUAUGUGUCAAUUAAAAAGAGUCACUUUCAUCCUAUGAUUACCAUGUUGUGUACUGUUUGAAAACAAUUUAAUUGCUAUGUUUAACAUUGUAUAACAAGAAUUAUUUCAACUUCCUUAGUUAUCUCCUUCCCUCAUUCCACUGACUGAAAUUUUUCGCAAUUCCUCCCAAAUAUAGUUUAUCUUCUAACUAGUGUAAAAGGAUAAACCUGCUUAUACUUUAGGUGAGAGUUUACAUUGCUAAUAAUUUAAUUAAUUAAUAUUCUUGUUCAGUAUCUUCUACUCCAAGAAUGAGUCUUUGUUUGUUUGUUUUUUUUUUUAAUUUCUUCAGCUGAUGAGUGUAAUGGAAAGAAGAUGGGCUCUGAAGCAAGAGACCUGGUUUCGCUUUCCAGUUCUGCCACAGUCUCCUUGUAUAAAGUAGAACAUACGUAUAACAAAAGUAUUUAUACAAAAUAUAAUCAAAAAUAUUUGAGACAGUAAGAUUAUUUGAGAAAAUCAACGAAGUUACUAAGUUUAUUUAGUCAGUCAUACUCUAUAAAGGCUGAAAUGUAUUCUUUAAGAGAUGUCUCCUUUUUUAAAAAAAAAAAGUAUACAAAGAAUAGCUGUGUUGGAAAAGUAUUUGAAAAAUCAAAUAUGUCAGGAUUCAUACACAUUUCGUGGCAUAGCACUCACAUUCUUUAUUAGGUGUGAAGUAAAAUUCUUGGAACAGCUCUUGGACCAUAUGCUGUUGCUAGUUAGCGUGUCUAAAAAUGAUAAUUGUAUUUUCAUAUUUACAUUAAUAUUGCUUAUAAUCUGGCUUAGAUAUUAAUUAACAAAAGCUUUUAACCUUUCUGUUUGAAAUAAAUAAUGAUUAGCAAUUAAACAUUUCAGUUACUUCUGAUUGUAAAAGUAUGAUAAGUGUUUAGUGGCUAGUGUCUCAUUCAGAAGUUGUAGGUCAUACUCUGCAGUUAUUUAUCUUUGGUGUGUGUUACUUAUAUUAUUACAAUGCAGAUCUGAAAAAAGAGUAUUUUCAUUCAGUCUGGCACUAAAAUAUACAAUUCUUACAGGAAACAAAAGUUAAAAGUUAUUGGUAAUGAAAAAAAAAAACCUACAUUACUUUAUUCACUUUAGUUCCCUGAGGAGUUAGUUAUUAGUGUGUACAUGUUAUUGUUAAAGUGAUUUUUAAUAUUAAAAGAUGAAUAUGGAUUUUUAUAAUGCAGUUUUGGUUAAUUCAUUCUGCAAAAUGUGACCUUGACUUGCUGUUUUUCUCUUCCCUCCUUAAUAAUGUUAUCUUUAAAUUAGAAAAUAGUACUUUUCAUAUUCGGUUUAUUAUAUUGUAUAAUCAAAGUAUUAUUUCGCCCAUGUAGUCUUUUAAGGAGACCAUGCCAUUUUCUAUUCCUCUUUCUCCUUACUAUUUAAGACAUGUGCUUAGAGGGAGCACAUUGAUUAUGGAGGGCUUCUAUGGGAAUUCGCUAGUGAGAAUAUAUUAUUACCCAGAUUGAGUAGUGCCCCUUUGAUGCAUUAAAAUUGCCAUGACUCAGGAACCAAUGUCCCAGGAGAGAUCUUGGUAUCCAAGAUAAUAAAGUUAGGUAAGAAAGACUAGAUUACCUCUCUUUUAGAUGAGGAAAGAUGAUUAAAGCAUGACUUAUGAUGCACUUUACAAAAGUGUGGAUUCCAUCAUGCUAAAACACUUCCCAGCUGACUAAUACUUGAAAAUUCACUAGUGAAACGUUUUCCCUUAAAACUCUCAUAUAUUGUUGCAUCAUUCAAAUAUAUUUAUUCAGCAUUUCACACAUUUCAUACGUUACUCUAGAUGCUGGGAAAAGCUAUAGACAAAAAAAAGAAAUCUCUGUCCUUAAAAAGUUUCUAAUAGAAGUGGGGUGCAAGUAGAACAGACAGAAAUAUACUAAAUGUGUAACAUAUAAAAACUUAGAUUAUGUUGUCCAAACAAAAUACAUAGGAAAGCCAUGAAUGGAGUGUCAGGGGAUUGCAGUUUUUAAAAAUUGCCAGGAAAGGCUUUAUUGGGAUGACGUUUGAAUAAAGGCCUGAGUGAGAUAUGAAAGCAAAGCCAAACGGAGGAAGAGUGUUCUGGACAGAGAGAACAGCCUGUGCAGGUCCCAAGGAAACAGAAUGUUUAGCAUGUUCGGUGGGAGAGAUGAGUGUAUCUGGUGUGAAGGGAGAAAGGAUGAGAGUAGAAGAAAUGGAAGUCGGGUGUUAACAGAGUUGCAAGGACACACUAUGUUAGACCUUGCAAGUCGUUAUAAACCGCUGGCUUUAGAUGAAGAUGGAAAGCCACUGGAGGGGAUUUAAGCAGAAGAAUGACAUGAAUAUACUUUCAUUAACAAUCUCAUUAACAAUCUCUCUGCUGUGUUAAGAAUAGGUAAGGGUGUUCCAGGUUAUGAGCAAGAGAUUAGGAGGCUAUUGAAAUAAUCUAGAAGGUGGCUGUCACUGGGUGGCAAUGGAAUGGUAGGGAGUAGUGAAUUCUGAAUACGUUUUGAAUAUAGAGUCAACAAGAUUAGCACAUUGAAAGUGGAAUAUGACAGAAAAACAGUGACCCAAGGGUGGCCUUGAGUAUUUUUAACCUGUGUAACUUUUGAAAAGAUAAAAUAACUAGAAACUCUAGACAGAAAAAUUUGUGGGAGAGACAGGUUUGAAGAAGUUUAGGAACUCAGUUUCUGUCAUGCUAUGUUUAAGAUGCUAUAGUUGCCUCUAGUUUAUCUGUGAUAUUGGGGUUAAUUAUGUAAAUCUGGAGCUUUCAGCAUUGACAUGGAAUUUAAAGUCAUGAACUAAAUGAGAUAAAAGGAAGUGAGUAUAAAUAGAAUAAAAAGCAGGUUUGAGGUGUGAGUGCCAGGGCACUGGAUGAUGAAGAACAAUCAGGAAAAGUGACAGAGAAUGAAUGGCCAUUGAGAUAAUAGAAAAAAUUCAAUUUGAUGCCCAGAAAGCAAAGAAAGUUAUUUCAAGGAGGAGGCAAUGAUCUGUCCCAAAUGUUGAUAGCUCUGCAAGGUGAGGAGUGAGAACUGAACUUUGGAUAUAAUCAAUUCAGUAUGAGUCUAGUGGCCAUCAGAACAUCUCAUAUGUCUUAGACUGCAUUGAUUUAUAGAGUAAAGGUGGCUGAUACUCAGCUCUGCUCGGCACAUUCACUUCCAACUGGGAAUAUUGUGCCCAAUUCUAGAUAGCACAGGUUAACAGUCAUACAAAUAUAUUUUAAAAUGAUGGGAAAUAUGAGGUAACUCACAAUCAUGUAAGAUGGAUACCAAUUGAAAGAAUGGGUUUGGCUAAGUUGGAGAAAACUAAGAAGAUACAACAGUAAAAACUUGCAGCUUUAUAUCUUAGAAAGUUCUUUCUUAUAUUCGGUUACUCUAUGUCUUUCUGUUGUUUCUGCUCAUUCAUUGAUGUAUUUAAUACAUAUUAAGCACCUGUCAUGAGUCAUUCUGCUAACUGCUGGAUAUGGGGUAGUAUGAAACAAAGACAAGAUUCCUGUGUUCACAGAAUAGAUUCUCUGAAAGAUUUUAGUCCAAACACGUCAUAUGUUAUGAUGGGAUCCCAGGAUCUAUUCCUGCAUUAGCAGGAAACUCACUUGCUAAACACAAUGAAGAGGAGAGACCUUACCUUUAAGUUUCAGUGAACAAAUAAUUUCUUAGUUUUAAAACUUGCUUCUACUUAUAAUUUUCAGUGAAACUGGAAAUCUUCACAUAGAGACAAGUUUAGGUCACUUGCUAGUCAACCUUUCUCCUAAGUAAGUUCUGCUUAUGCCAUUCAUUAGAUAUUUAACAGUUAACACAGGAAACUGUCUUCAUUUAUAUUUUAUAUAAAUGGAGCAUUCAUUUAAAAUCACUGUUUAAUAUGUUUAAGAUAACAUAAUGUUGUGCAGUGUUUUAUUGAAAUGUGGGUUGUGAUUUUACUCGUUUGUUGAAUACUUAUUGAAUGCUUACUGUAUGCCAGGUAAUUUGCUGAGGGCUGGAUAUUCAGUGGUGACAUGAACAUAGCCUCUCAUGGAACUUAGACUAUAGGGAGAGAUAUAUUUUAAUCUCUUUCCUUUUUACUUCCCACUUACCACGGCAUAAUUCUUCAGUGUUCUUAUGAGAUUUUCAUUACAUGAAUCUUAGACUAUGAAUAGAAUUAUCUGCUGUAUAGCUAAUGUUUGGUGAACACAGCAGGCAGUUUGUAAAUCUAGAGUUAUUAUUCUUGACUCUUUGUUAGAUCUCAUUGAUGGCAAAGAGAGGAUGUUGUGUCAUUUUUUUUCAGUAAGCCUGGGCAUCAGCACUACAUCUUUCUUGAGCCAGCAGAGCAAACAGAUAAUUAUUUAAUAUCCUGUGUUUGAUGAUAACCAUUUUUUCUUGGCAAAUGUUUGAAUUAAGCAAGUUUUCUUUAUUGAAAUUUCCAAAAUACAAAGUCCUUCUUUUUAGCCACUUAGAUACAUGCAGAUACUUCAAAGUGUGUCUGAGUAAAUAUAAAAUAUUAAGUAUACCAGUAGAUUCAUAACAGUUUUUUACUGCAGUUAACCUUGGUUAAAUGUACACCUAUUUUCAAUACCAAGAAAAUGAUAGUUCAUUUUGUUGGAAUUUUUAAAAUUUCCUUCAUUUACCAUAUCUAUUAUUUUUACCUUGAUUCUCUUGAUAGAUAUAUUUUGGUAAGUUUAGGAGUAAAUGUAGAGGGUGGGAAGGAGUGGAGUAUAGUUGGAUGAUAGAUCCUAAAUUUUACUAUUUUAAACAAAGCUUACAAUUACAGAAAAUUGUAGACAACUGAUCACAGGAGAUACUUAUUUUAGGUCAGGUGCCCAUCACUGGUUUGGCCUGUAUUAUCGUGUAGCUAAAUAGGCCUGGGUUUUGUUUGGAUACAGAGGCAUAUAUCGUUUUAGAAGUACUUGGUGAUGAACUCCUCACUUAAAUAAUUUUACUUAUUAUAAAAGAAUAAGUGAUAUAAUGCUGAAGUUUCUAUAAUAUAAAAAACACUUAGGACCAAUUGUUUCUGAAUUCCAUUGAUAGUGUCUUUUGAAUUUAGAGUUAAAAUUGAACUAUAGCUUAUUUUAUAACAACUAUUUCCCUAUAUGCAUAUAUUAUUCCUGGCAAUUCUAAAUAUUUCCUCAGCUGGUAGAAUCUUCACUCUGUCUCUGUGUGUACACCCACUCUCUCUCAUUCUCCUCCCAUACACCCUCAUUUUUUAUACUACAUAACCCCAGUGUUAGAAAAGGUAUGUUCACUGGGGAAAAAAAAGCCUUUUUUCAGGAUUGUUAUUAAUAAGUACAAAAUAAAAUAGUGAGUGAAAAAUCUAUCAAUAAAAGGCUUGCACAUAUCCCUUCUGCCCUCUACAAUGUGAACCUCUUUUGCUUCUACUCCUUCUGUGAACACACAGAAACAUUUCACUCAGCUUGCUGGCCAAGGCCUUGGAUUGUAAAAAACUAUGACGUUCUCAAUGCUUUUAUGUUUGUUUGCCUAGGUGACAAAUAGUGAAGAUUUGUCUUCCUCUGUAUAUGUGUUGAAGGCAUCCUUAAUACCCUCUUUUCUUGAUUUUAUGUUUCUGCAAUCUCAAAGAAUAGAAUGCCCCUAUUUGCCCUGGCACACUUACACACACAUAUUUUUUAGAGUGUGGCAACCGAUGUUAUUUAAGAGGUAGGAUACACAUGUUGAGAGAGUCUAGUUUCCUUCUUUCAGACUUACCCUAUUGUGCACUUACAUGUUAUGUGAGUUCUGUGACCCCGUUUUUGCCUUAAGGCCAAUCCUGCUAGAUUAUUGUAUUUCAUGCCUUUCGUCUGCCGUUGAGUUUACAAAAAUCUAAUAAAGGUUUAUAAAUGACUUCCCCAAGCUAGAAAAUCUAAUGGCACUGAUGUUUAUGAAAUGCUCCGUAGCCCCACCAAGGAUCAAUGUUAUUUUCAGAUAGAAACUUUUUUAAAUUACCUGAGAUUUUCUUUGCCACUCUUGUAUAAUCAGAACCCAAUUAAAAAGAUUCUGAUGAAUAUUAUGAGGAUGUAAUUAGAGGCAAAUUUUAUGUUAGUUCUAAUAUACUCAUAUGUUGGUAAAGGAAGUUAUCCCAGUACAAACUUAAUGCAGAUUUUUAAAAAAUCAGUCUAUCCAUUAACAUUAAUUUUGCAGUAUUUUUCUAAGGAAACACAUCAAAAGACAGUAGCAAUACUUCUGCCUUAGGCGAAAAAUCUCAAAAAUAUUUGUUGUGCUCAAAAGAGUCUGUCUGCCCCUUCAUGGAUGGUUUAAGAUAACUUUUGGCAACAGAAAGCAGACCACUGAUAAUACUUGGAGGUAGUUUUGUAUUCAUGAUUUAAUACAUGUGAAAUAUGUAAUGGAGGGACUCCUGGAGUGAAGAUUUUAAUAUUUCAGUUGUAGAUAACUCUCUUUGAAAACAUAGCUUUUUAUACAGAUUUGGUGUGAAAAUGUUUAGUUGAGCAGAUGGAGAUCCAGCUGGUAGAAUAUAUGUUUGUCAGGGUAUCUGGCAUUUAGCUACAUCCAAAAAUGAUACCAAACUGAAAGAUGCUAAAGAGCAGCACUGUACAAAAGCCAGUAUGAUCAGUUAGGGGUAGAGUCCUUUAAUUUUGGAUUUCCUAACCUUGUAGAAAUACAUUUUAAUCCAGAUGGAAUUUUUCAUUUUAAAAAUAAAAUCUGAGAAAAUGUAAAUAAAAUUGUCAAACAUCUGCCUUUCCAAAAUCUUGAUUACAGUAGGCUAGGAAAAACAUUCUACUUUGUGUGUUAAAAUUUAGUACCUAAUGAAUAGUAUAUAUUUGUACAUGUACAAUAAACAUGCACAUUUCCCAGAACUUUAUAUUCUAUAUAUUUGAUAUCAUUAUUUUGGUUUCUUGAACUAAACUGUAAGAAGUGGUGGAUGAUAAUUGAGUAGAUAUUAAGAGAAAGAAGGAAAGAAUUUGUAGAAGAAUUACAAGAGUCCUAAAUGUACUCAAAAAUGUUUCACCCCACUGGAUUCCAGUAUUUAAGUCCCCACUGAGAUGGAUAAAAGGCCAGCUUAGUAAGGAAUCAUGUGUUUACUCCUAAAUGUUACAGCCUAUACAUUUAGUUGAUUAAUACAGUCUGCUUAUUUGUUUCUUUCAUAAAGAAAUGAAUAUUUAGAAAUAAAUUAUUUUGUUAAAAUUCUUAAAUAUGUGUACUCAAAAAAUUCUAUAUUAUGCAUUUGAAGUUGUUUAUUUUAAUUUAAAGCAAUUAGGCAAAACUAAGAAGUUUUUUUCAUCUUGUUUUUUGUUUGGUUUGCCCUUUAGAUACCAUAUUAAUAAAACCUUCAUUCAAACUUUUAAAUUAAGUCCACUGAAAAUGCCCAACUUAAUUAAUUGUUACCCUGUAUGGCCCUCAAAAAGUGAUAAUUGGCAUAUUCAUUCAUAGUGCUAGUAAAACACACACACACAUAAAGCACAGGUAGGGAACAGAAUGCUCCCUGAAUCUGUAGAACUGCUUAUCAUAGUGAGUAAAAGUAUCUAUAGGUGACUUUUGGAAGGCUUCCCUUAGGAAUGUAUUUGACUCACUAAAUCCAAAGAGAAUAUUUAACCCUUAUUUGAUAUAAUGACUUCAUGAAAAUGGGUCCUAAUUUUGAAGGUAUAAUCAGAGUUAGAUAGUCACUAGUAUGCCUCUCUAAUUCAGUCAUUGAUAUAACCUGAGCUACAUGGACUGCUUUAAAAUAUUCCCUUACCAAAAACUAAAGCUGGGAAAAGCGUGUUCCUUAUGAGCAUGAUUUAGUAAAUCCAGACUUAGAAAUUAAUUAAUGAAGAGUGUGCCUCUGCAAAAGUCCAGUAUAUUUAUCAGAAAAGCACCCCUCUAUGAAAUAAUAAAGAUUUCGGUCUUCCUGGGGAGCUUUAUAUUUUAUAAAACAAGACACACCAAAAAAGGAAUCACUUGCAGUAGAUUAUAAGAGAUACAAAAUUUCCCUGUAAGUUUUUGUUGUAAUAUUUCUUCCUACAUUUUAAAAAGGAUAGUAAUUAAUGCUAUAGUUUUUCUUCAAAUUCCAUCUUAAACUUUACUUGUUUUAUAUCACCUUCCUACAGUGUAAAUUAUAUAUAGUAUACAUUACAGAUAUAUAAUAAAGAAAUUACAUACAGUGUAAAUUUUAUACAUCUGUAUAUACAUGUUUGCAUUAUGUUUAUAAAAUAUGUGCAUGUAUUCAUCUGUAUAGUGUGAAAGCCUAUGUGCUUAACUUGUGACAUAUUGAGCCUUGUAUUGUUUUUUACAUUCAUUAUUCAUUCAUUCAUUCAAUGAAUCUUCACAGUGCUCUAUAAUGUAACUAGUAUUAGUGUCCUCAUUAUAAAUAUGAAGAAAUUAAUGUAUAAAGAGUUUGAAUAAGCCCAAGGUUGUACAGUGGCAGUAAUCAAACCCCAAAUUAUGCUCUUAAUCAAAAUGCCAUAUGGCUUUUGUUAAUUUUCUAACAUUUCUAAAAGCCAACAUUAAUCUCAAAAAGAGAUAGUUUGGACAUUUACCUGAGUAAGUGACCAGUUAGUUUAACAAAUUCCUGUAGAACUGACCAAUGAAUGUUGAUGCAGUGUGGAGUUGUGUAGACCACAGGGACCUGAAGAGGGAUUAUCUCCUUUAUAAGCAGCAGUCACUUCCCUCUUCUUGCUGAAGAUGCGUAAGUGCCCAGUGGGGCCAGAAAUAUCAAUUCCAGAAGUCAAGUCAGAAAUCUAGAUUUGUCAGUGAAAUUUCAGAUAUUGUAAUUUGUAUCUUGUAAUUAAACUUAAACAAAAAGUACCUUAAUGGUGUCUAACAAAACAAAUAUAUAGAGAGGAAAUAAGAAGAACAUUAAUUAGUGAGCUCAGUCAUAUCCAGACAUUGCAGGUUGAGUUCCAAGGAUAAACAAACUCUGAGACAGAGAUACAUAUGCAGGAAGUUUAUUGGGGAAUGCUCCUGGGAUCAGUGCCUCACCUAUUGUGAUUGAUAUAUACAUAAUCAACAGAUAAUAUAUUACUGUUGCCUACGAUUUGAUUCUUCUAUUCUCAAAUUAUUAUGUUCUCACAGUUGAUAUUAGGUGCUUGUUACAAUGCAAAUACUGAAACCCACACUCAGGAAGUUUUGAUUCUGUAGACAAACUUGGUGGAGAACAGUUAUAUACAUUUUUACAAGUAUGCAGGUAAUUCUAAUGAUUUUAAUACCUAUGCCACAUAUUGAGAUAUACUGAUUUAAAAGAGACAUAUAUAAAUAAGAAUUUAUAUAUUUUCUCGAGGGUAUGAGUUAUAUAUUGUAAAUCUUUUAUAAGCCCUCAUGUAAGACAUAAUAAAUAAUUUGAAUUUACUAUUUUAUUUAGCAAUUAUUACAUGAUACAAAAUAUACACAAAUUAUCUUGUAAACUGUAUAACGUUUUAUAAGUGAAAUUAUAUUUCAAUGAAUCAAAAUUAUUUUUGAAAAUUUCUGACUUGGUAAGCUCCUACAAUCCCAUAUUUCAUCAUUUUAAUGCUGCCUCAGGACUUGGCUAAUUGUGUUGGGCCAUCUUGUCUCUAAAGCAUUAAAUACUAGCAAAGCUGUGUAAGCUUUAAAUAUAAUUUUCCAAAUUAUAUUUUCCCACUAAUGCUUAUGAAAUUUCAUAUGUUAUCAAAAUUGCAAUAAAUUUCUUUAUUAUAAAAUAUAUUUCCCUUAGCUUUAAUUGCACCUCUGACCUGUGUCUAAUAGCAUCUUUUAAAACCAUGAAAGAGAAUACUAAGCAUUAUACUUCUGCAGAACCUGUUUUUUCUAGCUACAUUCUUAAGUAUAUUUAGUAAAUAUGAAAGGGAAUUGUUUUUCUCCCGAGUGAAGUAAAAUUGCACUACAAAUCAUUUUCUGCUAAUGACUGUAUUCUUUUAAAAUAGCGAAGCAUAUUUGGUCUCUAAUCACUUUGCCUAUCAUUGUAAUAUAAUGUUAAUUUUAAAGAGUUCUCUUUUGGAAUGAAAGAACUAAUAUACUGAAUCUUUAUUCGAAAUUUACUUAUAUAUUAAAAUGCUUUGCUAAGCUUUUGUUAAAUCUGCAGAAUAUUCCAACACCCUGAACCUUCUUAAUAUUAAAAUAUGACAUUUAUUAAAGCACUUCUGAGUAAAAUAAAACCAGGCAUGAAAAUGUAAUAUCAGACACAAUUUCUACAGUUUCACAAGGAGGUCAGCUAAUCAAUGAAAUGGAUCAGUGAUUUCUCCUCCUUAAAUGAGCAGCCCAUUAAUACUAGCACACAAUACAUGCUAGACAUUUCACCACUGAGUCACAUCUUUAAUUAUCUAUCAUACUUUCUGAUUAUAAUAUUUUAUCCAAUUUAUCCCUAAAUAUCUAGUAAAUGUAUAUUAGUAAGAGGGAGCCUCAGCAUAGAAUAUUUUUCAGCUUACCACAUAAAUUGAAACAAAUACAAAACAUCAACUUUUAUUGCUAUACAGAUAUUAUUUUUCAUGUGAAUUUAUAAUUGCACAGUUAUCAAUUACUAAAUAAAGAGUAUAUUUGAUUAUGAAUAUAUGUAAUCUUUUAGCAAAUCUUAUUGAAUCUACCUUCCAAAUAUUUGUAAAACAUAUAUAUGGAAUAUGACCACCUUCUUCACUUCCACGGCUAUGUAGCCCCUAGCAUUUCCUAUCUGGGUUACUGCAAAACUUUCUAAUAGGUCUCCGUUGUUCUAUACUUGACUCUACAUCCAGUUCUCAAUCACAGCAGUUACAUCCUUUUUAAAGCAUAGACCAUUUUGUUCCUCUGCUCGGAAAGCUGCUGUGACUCCACAUCUCACUCAGAGCAAGAGUAGAAGUCUGCUAGGCUUUAUGUGAUCUGCUUCCUAUCUCACCUCCUCAGCGCCUCUGGUCUUGUCUACCACUAAACCCCUCACCCAUGCAUUCCAGCCAUGCUAGUCUGUUUAUUAAUCCUUAACACACACCAGAAGUGUUCCUAUCUUUGGGCCUUUGUUCUAGCUGUUCCCACUCCCUUAAAAUUAUCUACCCCUGGAUAUCUGUUUGGCUACCAAACUGAUCUCCAUCAAAUCAUUGUUCAAACUCUGCAUGCUCAAUGACAGUGUGCAAACAACCUUACUUAAUGUAACAACUUGUAACUUCUCAACAUUUCUGACCCCCUAACCCCACUCUUUUUUUUUUUUUCCUUUCUGGAGUACUUCACAACUUCCACACUGUACAGUUUCCUUAGUUGUUAACUCUAUUGUCCAUCUUUUUUGGGGGAAAAUAUGUGUUUUACUAAGAUAGAGGUAUUUAUUUUCCUUGAUUUUACUUCCUAAACACUUAUAAGAGUGGUGUGAACAUAUGAGGCCCUUAAUAAAUAUUUGUUAAAUAGAAUUGAAAUAAAUUCUAGUUUGUGACAUUAGCAGGAAGAUAAAUUAUUAAAUGCAUAUGAUUUUUAUUUAAGAAUUGGAAUCUAAAUCUAAGUGACAGCAAUGGUUCAGAGGUUGAAUUGCCAGAAAAAUUCAUUGUAUUUUUCAGAAAACACCACUAUUUUUCUUUUCCUUUCAACCACAGCUAGUUUCCUGAUUCUAGAAUUUGGGGUAACUUUAAAAUUAAGAAAACAAUAUUUUAAGAAGUAAAAGCUGACAAAUGAUUGCUGCUUUCUUCUAAAGCUUUGUUAUUUUUUCAUAAAAACUACAUGAAGUUCUAAUAAUGAGUCUCAUUAUGGUAUCAUUGCCAAAAUGGUCAUGUCAUAGAUAACAAAGCAAAAAAAAACAAACAAAAAACAAAGUGACAUAGUACUUUUAUCUCUACUGUUUCUUAAAAGCAGUUGUCUUUAAAAACUAAGCAGAACAUGUAAUUUUAAGAUUAAGGUCAUUUUUUAAAUUAAAUAUAUUCAGCUUUGUUAAAAAUGCAUAAUUUAUUGCAUUACCUGUCUUUUUCUCAUUUCUCAUGAAAACUACGUCAAGAAAUUGUUCUUAUCUGCAAAACUGCACUUAGAUACAAUGAAUUAGGGAACUUGUUGGCUUCAGAAUGCCUGGUUCCAAGUAGCUUCUUUCUGUGCAUAUCCUUCACUUUCUCACCAAGCAGAUGGCAGCAUAGUGGUAAGUUAUGGAGACAUGCAGGCCAAUUUAUUCUGCCAUGCACUAAAAACUGUGCUAGAAUUUGUGGGCAAAAUAAAAGCAAGAGAAAGAAACUAACACUUUCUGAGAGCGAUAUUAUAUACCAAGCUCUGUGUUAGUGUUUUCAUAUACACUAUUUUAUUCAAGACAUUCUUGAAUUAGCAAGAGAGAGAUGUUAACACACAGGAGUACAGUAUGUCUUAUAAGUACAUUUUUUCUUUUUAGAAGGGUAAUGCCAUAAUUGGAUUAGUCGUUUGAACUUUAUGCAGUAUAAUAUUUCUGUCAAAAAGAAAUGGUGGGACUUUCCAGAUACAGUAAAUGAUUAUGAAGAAGGUAUUGAGGUGAGAAUGAGAGUUAUGAUUACUGGAUGGCUGACCUGAAGGAGGAUGAAGAGUUCCAGCUCAUAUGUAACCUCAUUAGAUAAACUGCUUUAUCACUUUCUAGCUAAUGACUCUCCAAGGGGUUCGUAAGCCAGCUGUGAUGGCAGCAGGAGCCAGUUUCACAUAUUGUAGGUGCUAGACACAGCCAAGGAUUUCUGCCUUUAUAACAGCUGAAGGGGUUGGAGGUGGGUUGGUUUGAUAUGAAGGGAGGACACAACUUAACUAUAUUUUAAUUCAGGCAAAAUGGGUUCUGCUUAAGCAGUCAAUAUCUAAACUUGUGAUUAUGUAUAAUUCUGUGACCAAGUUUAAAUGCAGCUUAAGACUAAAUCUUUAUAUGCCAAGGCCUCAUUAAAAAGAAAAUUAAUAAUUCCUUUGCUAAUGUUAAAAUUGAAUGACCUGAAAAAUGUGUCUGAGAAUUAACAGUGGCUAUAAUUCAUAUGUAAAAAUACCAAGGCCAUCACAAAACUGGGUGCGGUAGAAGUGUGUUGCCCCAAUUUAGUACCUUUACUUGUUGAAGAACUGUUUUUUCUCAGCUAGCUUCUACUGCCUUUCAUACCAUGCAUUCCUAGGACUGACUCCCACCUGUUAUGUAUGGGAAAUGUGAAUUCAUUUUCACAUUAGCUUAUUUAAGACAUAAUUAAAAUAGUAAAUCUUCUUUAAAGUCCCUAUAGUAAAUUUCAAAGCCAGAAAGUUGUGGGGUUUCUGCAGGAAUAUUUUAUAUCUACCUAGGCAAACAUACCACUUACACACUAGAGAAUAAAGCCCUCAAGAGCAUCUGCCUGUAAGUUUGCUUGCAUCCUAAAAGAAAGAAAGAAUAAGGACAGAAGAGAGGAAUUCCAAAAUGUUGAACAUGUUAUUAUAUGUUGAGGAAAGAGCAGCCAGGGAGAAAUGACCCCCGUAAGCACAGCAGGUAGUUUUACUAAAUGUACAAACUGAAAUUACUAUGUUCCAUCUUAGGACUGUAGUUUAGUUUUCCUCUUGUCAAGGCUAAUUAUUAUUUUCCAACUGGCUUCUAAAUGUUUUCAAUAUUUGUUUGUAUUGCUAUCUCACUUGUAUAGUUAGAAGCCAAGCAUGUAGGGAAUGUAUUCAGAGAAUCUAAUAAUGAAUACUAUUCAUUUACAUAAUGCAGAAACUCAAUAUCAACAGGACAUUCUUGAAAAUACAUAAUCCUUCUGAAAUAUAAUCAGACAUACUAAACAAUUUUGCCUUGUUUACUUAGUCAUUUUACUAGUUAGUAUAGAAAGUAAUUUCUUUGCACAAUUGAUAUUUUAUACGUAAGUAAUUUAUUGCAUAUCAGAUAAGCACUUUGCAUCUGAUAGGUAGAUACUCAGAAGAGUAUAUAUUGCUUUAAAAGGAUAGAUGUUUUCACAGAAAGUGUUACACACAAUCUAGAAAUUCUAUAAUUACAGUAUGUAAUAUAAUACAAACAAUAUUAGAACAGUAGCUUUCCAAGUCUCUGAAAAUAUCUGUAACCUCACAGGGAAAACUCCUAAAUAUUUUCAGGUUGAUUCUACAGGUAAAUUCUGAUGUUAUAAGCUAAUUGACAUAUUCAGUUCAACAAAACGAAAAACUUAAAAGGAUAUAUUUUUAAACAUUGUUAGGAAGUUAGAAAGGGGGUGUUAUGCAACUAUUCUUAACCAUAGAUAAUCUCCUACAUAUGCAUUGUUAAAUAUGAGGAUUUUUAGAAAUCACUCCUCCCUGCUUUACCAGUUGUGGUUUGAGGGAGUAAAUUACACUCAUUCUUAGGAUCCGUUAGCUUCACUGUUAUUCUUCACUGUUAUUAUUAUAAGUACGGCAGUGCAGGCCCUUCCUAUGUUAGCACAACUAUAUCAUUUGCUUUCUUUCCAAUAAUAUGUUCUCAUUGUACCCUCUUACCACUUUCAAAAACAUAGGAGCUUAGCUGAGCCAUUUCUUUAACUUAGAGGAACUUUAAUUUCUACAACAGGAACAACCAACUCAACUUUUUUCCCAUCUAUCAAAAGUAUACUUUAGGGUGCAUACUCCAGCGGGUCUAGUCCUACAACUAGGUUCUUAUAAUAAAACAUAAACUGUGGAUCCCUAAAGAGAGGAUCAAACACUGAGAGUGAAUUUUUAGUACUUUUAGCAUCAGUAAAAUAACACACUAAAGAAGAUUAAAUAGUUUCAUAGGCCAUAAAUUUGAUAAGACAAAACACAGUACUUCUUAGGUAAAAAGUUGAACAAGAAAAGAUCAGCAGAGAGUGAAUCUGUUGAUCUUAGAGUUCAGUGAUGAGCACUUUGAAAAAUAUGCAGCAGAAGCCAAAUCACUUAUUCAUCCACAAGAGUAACACUAAUGUUACAGAGAUUUUUCAAAUAGAAAAAAAGUAGACUUAGCCAUUGGUUUCCAUCACUUAUUCAUCCAUAAAAGUAACACUAAGGUUACAGAGAUUUUUCAAAUACAAAAAAGUAGACUUAACCAUUGGUUUCCAUAACCAGAGAUAACAGCUGAAAUCAGAGUAAGCUGUUAUAUAAAGGGGGAUGAAGUUUCUGUCAUUUAGAUUGUUACGUAUUAAGUAUUUUUUUUUUAAUUUGUCAUAGAUUUGCAUGAUUUGGGACCUUUGAAGACAAAGACCACACAACUGCUGCAUAUUCUUAUAAUUAUGCUCUUUAUUCUAUGACUUAGUUUACUUCUUUGAGAUAUGUGACACACCGCUUAGAAGAAAUUACCCUACUAUUUUGUUAAGUGCGAAUACCUAAGUGAUACAUAUUUUAAUCAGAGAUUUAAACCCAAUGAAAGCAUCUAAUAUUCUGGGUUAUCAGAUUUUGAUAAUAUAUAUUUACUUACUUAUCCCUUAAUACAUUUUAUUUAAGAAAAUUUUAUUGUUAGUCUUAAUGUUAAUUUUCAAGUUUUUAAUGUAUAAAUAUCAUACUGACUUAACAUUUCUUAAAGCUUGCAAGCAUCAUUAAAAUAUUUAUUCAAUAACUAUAAUAUCUAAUAAAAUUCAUAGUUCAAUUCCAGACAAUUAUCAGUUAAAUAUCUAAGUUCAGUUUUCUUGAGUAAACAUUUGAUUUUUUUAUAUUCCCUCAAAAUUGGUUGUUAUCUUCAAAUCACGCCUACUAAUAUGGCUUUCAUAUUUGGUCAUCAUUGUAGGUCCAGUAUGUAAUGAGGUCUUGUUGCUCUUGGUUGAACUAAGAGCUCUGCAGAUGGUCAGUAGAUGUAUGCGUUACUUAAGGAUUGUGAGGCAAGUUAAAACUGAUAUGGAGGUUGGGCCUGUCAGUGAAAGGGUCAGCCUCUUUGCAGUCAAAUAUGUUUAUGCUACUUUGUUAAAUACUCAUCCAAGACAGAUUCUUCAUCUCUGCAGUUGUAAUCACAAUAGUAAUAAGGAUGAUUACUAUGCUAGUUAAAUAAGACAUAAAUAAUUAAUGUUAGACAAUAUAAUAAGAGCUGUGGUAAUGGGUGUAUUAUAUAGGAUUUUUGCCAUAUAACACUUGUUAGAAGGAAAAAAAAAAGAACUGUUUAGCCAAACUGAAACUCCUUGACAUUUAUUUUUUGAUGUAAUUUAUUUAGUAUAUGAUAUUUUAAAAAACUCAAACUAUUUUAGUUUUUUUUUUUUCCCAGUAUAAGGAAUAUUUCCUAUGGAUAUAUUUACCUCAGGAAAAAGUAAACAUAAUAAUAUUGUUUCAAUAUGACUAUUUUUUAAAACAUUCUAAAUAGCCUAAACUGCAUGUUGAGACAGCUAUUGUUACGUAGAGCUAAUACCUUAUAAAAACAAAACAAUUGAAAUAAAUGGAUGAAGAGAAGGAUAAGGAAGUUAAUGAAACAGAAAAAUAUAGGAGAAAAGACUGUGGACUAUAAAACAUAGAAGAAUUGAAAAUGAAAAGAAAGAUGAAAUGAGUGAAAUUAUAAAAUAUACCACAGGAGUAGAAAAGAUAAAGGAGGAGAGAGAAGAGAAACAUCAUCUUUAAACUCAUUAUCCCUAAUGAAUUUGCUACCAUCUUGUAUCUGUCUACCAGUUAAUGCUAGGCCAUGGUAUUGUUGCCGCAGAUUUUUCUCCUUCCUAGCCUAAGACUGCCUUCCUUAGUCUGGUCCUAUUUCUUAAUCAUCACCUCAUUGCAGCGUAAGGAAACUUCUGCUUGAGUCUUUAUAUUGCUUGUGCCGUAUCUUUUAAGAAAACUUAACCUUAAUGAUUAAUACUUAUUUACUUUUAUUUUUUUAAAUCUGAAAUCAUAUGAAAGAUACCUUGGGUCUAAUUUAACAAUCUUAAUUUUUUUAUUUAGUAAUUGUUUAAAAAAGAGAAUGUAUUUUGUUCUGCUUAGUUAUCCACAUUUAAUUUUGUUUAUAUCUUUUUAUACCAACUAAGGAUAUUUUUACUAUAUGAGGUUCUUUUAAAACAUUUGUUUUUUCUGCCUAUAAAAGCAAUAAGUGUUUCCUGAAGAAAAUGGGAAACCCAGUAUGCACAAUAGAAAAACAAGAAAGAAAAUAAUCACCAGCUAUUAAAAUUUUCCCAACUUUUCAUCUAUAGUAUAUAUUUCAUCUUAUAUGCUACUUUUUCCUCAAUACCACGUAGUAUCCUUUCCUCAUGAAAUGAAAUCUUUUUUGAAAACAUUACCACCACUGUUUUUAUAAUAUUAACAUCUGAAAGUUAUUCAGGUUGUCUCCAACUCUCUACUACUACAGACAUACCUGGUUUGAUUCUGUUUUGCAGAUAUUGCAUUUUUUACGAAUUGAAGGUUGUGGCAGUCCUGCAUUGAGCUAGUCUAUCAGUAUCAGUUUUCCAACAACAUGUGCUUACGUAGUGUCUCUGUGUCACAUUGUAUUUUAUAUUUUUCAUUAUUAUUAUAACUUUCAUGGUGAUCUGUGAUCAGAAAUCUUUGAUGUUACUAUUGUAAUUGUUUGGGAGCACCAUAAGCCAUGCCUGUACAAGACUAUAACAUAGCAAACUUAAUUGAUAAAUGCUGUGUGUAUUCCGACUGCCCCACCAACUAUUUCCCUAUCUCACUUCCUCUCCUUGGGCUUUCCUAUUCCUUGAGACGGAACAAUAAUAAAAUUAAGCCAUUUAAUAACUCUAAAGUAACUUUAAGUGUUCAAAUGCAAGAAUGAGUUACAGGUCUCUCACUUUAAAUCAAAAGCUAGAAAUAAUUAAAUUCAGUGAGAAAGGCAUGUGGAAAGCUGAAGGCCAAAAGCUAGACCUCUUGCACCAUACCAUUAGCCAAGUUGUGUAUUCAAAGGAAAAGUUCUUGAAAGAAAUGAAAAGUACUACUCCAGUGAAUACACAGAGGAUAAGACAGUGAAACAGCCUUAUUGCUGAUAUGGAGAAAGUUUUAGUGGUCUAAGUAAAAGAUCAAACCAGCCAUAACAUUUUCUUAGUCCAAAACCUAAUCAACAGCACAGGCAUAGCUCUCUUCAAGUCAGUAAGGGCUAAGAGAGAUGAGGAAUCUCAGAAGGCAAGUUAGGUGCUGGCAAAGGUAGGUUCGUGAGAGUUAAAAAAAGGAGCCAUCUCCAUAACAUGAAAGUGCAAGAUGAAGCAAGUGUUGAUAUAGAAACUACAGCCAGCUAUCUAAAAGGUGUAGCUAAGAUAAUUGAUGAAAGUGACUACUCUAAAGAACAAAUUUUCAGUGUAGAUGAAACAGCCUUAUAUUGGAAAAUGAUGCCAUCUAGAACUUGGUAUCUGGAAAGGAGAAGUCAUUGUCUAGAUUCAAGAUUCAAAGGAGAGGCUGACUUUCUUUUUAAGGGCUAAAGCACCUGGUGAAUUGAAGUUGGAGAUUCUGCUCAUUUAACAUCCAGAAAUCUUAGGACCCUUAAAUUAUUUUAAAUUUACUCUGUUUUCUAUUAGUGGAUCAAUGAAACCUUGAUAACAGCACAUAUGUUUACAGCAUGGCUUACUGAAUGUUUUAAGCCCGCUGUUGAGACCUACUGCUUAGCGGAGAAAAAUGCCUUUUAAAAUAUUACUGCUGAUUGGCAAUGUACCUGGUCACCCAAGGGCUCCGAUGGAGAUAUAGGAGAUUAAUAUUAUUUUAAUACCAUUGUCAUGCCUGCUAAAACGAUAUUUAUUCUGCAGCCCAUAGAUCAAAGAAUAAUUUCACCUUUCAGGCCUUUUCUAAGAAACACAUUUCCUAAGGCUAUAGCUGCAGUAGAUAGUGAUUCCUUUGAUAGAUCUGUGCAAAGUAAAUUGAAAACUUUUCUGGAAGGGAUUCACCAUUCGAUAUGCCAUUAAAGGCAUUCAUGAUUCAUGGGAGGAGGUCAAAUUUUCUACAUCAAUAGGAGUUGGAAGAAGUCGAUUCCAGCCCUUGUGGAUGAUGGUGAGGGGUUCAAGACUUCAGUGGAAGAAGUAACUGCAGAUGUGGUGAAAAUUGCAAGAGAACUAGAAUUAGAAGUGGAUGCCGAAGAUGUCACUGAAUUACCACAAUCUCAAGAUAAAACUGUAAUGAAUGAGGAGCUGCUUCUUAUGGAUGGGCAAAGAAAGUGGUUUCUUGAGAAGAAAUAUAGUCUUCAUGAAGAUUAUUUGAAUAUUGUUGAAAUGACAAAGAAGGACUUAGAAUGUUACUUAUAUAAAGUUAGCUGAUAAAGCAGUGGCAAGGUUUGAGAAGGUUGACUUUAAUUUUGAAAGAACUUCUACUGUGGGUAAAUUGUUAUCACCCAGCAUCACAGGCCGGGCUUACACCUGCAAUCCUAGCACUUUGGGAGCCCGAAGCUGUUGGAUCAUGUCAGCCAGGAGUUCAAGACCAACCUGAGUAACAUCGUGAGAUGUUACCAUCUGUGUAACAACAACAACAAAAAAAGUAGCCAAGCACGAUGCACAUACCUGUAGUCCCAACUACUUGGGAGACUGAGGUGGGAGGAUCACUUGAACCCAAGAGGUCAAGGUUGCAGUGAGCUGUGAUCACACCACUGUAGGGAGACACUCAAAAAAACAAAACAAAACAAAAAAACUUAGCAUCACGUGCUACAGAGAAAUAUUUCACAAAAGGAAGAGUCAACUGAUGCAGCAAACAUCACUGUUAUUUUAAGAAAUUAUGACAGCCACCCCAACCUUCAGCUACUACCUGAUCAUCCAGGUAGCCAUCAACAUCAAGGCAAGCCCCCUAAUCAGCAAAAAGAUUAUGAGUCGCUGAAGGUGCAGAGGAUCCUUAGCAGUUUUUAGUAAUGAAGUAUUUUUUAAUUAAGAUUUUAGACAUAAUGCUGUUGCCACUUAAUGGACUAGAGUAUAAUGUAAACAUAACUUUUAUAUGUAUUGGGAAACCAAAACAUUCAUGUGACUCACCUUAUUGAAAUAUUUGCCUUAUUGCAGUGGUCUGGAACUAAAUCUGCAAUAUGACUGUAUUGAUAAUCCUUUCCUAUAUUUUUUCCUUUCUUUUUUUUUUUUUUUUUUUUUUUUUU
Molecule: non-coding RNA, 23333 nt
Organism: Chlorocebus sabaeus (green monkey)
Lineage: Eukaryota; Metazoa; Chordata; Mammalia; Primates; Cercopithecidae
Source: RefSeq, a predicted model, not a curated record